This 69-nucleotide transfer RNA is filed under the name Bos taurus (domestic cattle). It matches the Rfam family "tRNA". Rfam says of the family: Transfer RNA (tRNA) molecules are approximately 80 nucleotides in length. Their secondary structure includes four short double-helical elements and three loops (D, anti-codon, and T loops). Further hydrogen bonds mediate the characteristic L-shaped molecular structure. tRNAs have two regions of fundamental functional importance: the anti-codon, which is responsible for specific mRNA codon recognition, and the 3' end, to which the tRNAs corresponding amino acid is attached (by aminoacyl-tRNA synthetases). tRNAs cope with the degeneracy of the genetic code in two manners: having more than one tRNA (with a specific anti-codon) for a particular amino acid; and 'wobble' base-pairing, i.e. permitting non-standard base-pairing at the 3rd anti-codon position. Lineage: Eukaryota; Metazoa; Chordata; Mammalia; Artiodactyla; Bovidae. The record is from Rfam by way of RNAcentral. RNAcentral also lists the same sequence under 5 other names.
CCUGGCGGCUUAGAUGGUAAAGAAUCUGCCUGCAAUUCAGAAGACCUGGGUUCGAUCCCUGGGUCAGGA